UCCGGUUUAACACCGGCAGUCUCGUUAGAGUGCCCGGCCGAACCGCUGGCAACUAACGACAAUGGUUGCGCUCGUUGCGGGACUUAACCCAACAUCUCACGACACGAGCUGACGACAACCAUGCACCACCUGUCACCACUGUCCCCGAAGGGAAAGGCGUAUCUCUACACCGGUCAGUGGGAUGUCAAGACCUGGUAAGGUUCUUCGCGUUGCUUCGAAUUAAUCCACAUGCUCCGCCGCUUGUGCGGGCCCCCGUCAAUUCCUUUGAGUUUUAAGCUUGCGCUCGUAGUUCCCAGGCGGGCCACUUCCCGCGUUAGCUAAGGCCCCCAGCGACGGAGAAUCCGCCACCAAAGGCCGAGUGGCCAUCGUUUACGGCGUGGACUAC
This 385-nucleotide unclassified non-coding RNA is filed under the name uncultured bacterium. RNAcentral's name for it is "contains 16S-23S intergenic spacer region". The record is from RNAcentral.